RNAcentral lists this ribosomal RNA (472 nucleotides) under Helcococcus sueciensis. RNAcentral's name for it is "bacterial SSU rRNA". It matches the Rfam family "Bacterial small subunit ribosomal RNA", at positions 34 to 504 of the family's 1533-position model. Lineage: Bacteria; Bacillati; Bacillota; Tissierellia; Tissierellales; Peptoniphilaceae. The record is from RNAcentral.
CGCUGGCGGCGUGCUUAACACAUGCAAGUUGAACGUGAUUUUAUAGACAGAUUUCUUCGGAAUGACGAUUAUAAAUGAAAGUAGCGAACGGGUGAGUAACACGUGAGAAACCUGCCUUUCACAAAGGGAUAGCCUCGGGAAACCGGGAUUAAUACCUUAUGAUACAUAGAAAUCGCAUGAUAACUAUGUUAAAGAUUUUAUCGGUGAAAGAUGGUCUCGCGUCUGAUUAGCUAGUUGGUGGGGUAAAGGCCUACCAAGGCGAUGAUCAGUAGCCGGAUUGAGAGGUUGAACGGCCACACUGGAACUGAGACACGGUCCAGACUCCUACGGGAGGCAGCAGUGGGGAAUUUUGCACAAUGGGGGAAACCCUGAUGCAGCGACGCCGCGUGUACGAUGAAGAUCUUCGGAUUGUAAAGUACUGUCCUUGGUGAAGAUAAUGACUGUAACCAAGAAGCAAGCCCUGGCUAAAUAC